GACUAGAAUCGUGCAUCUUCCGUGCCUUUCAAUUUUGUAUUUCAGAUUAACUGCUCCUUUUCCUCCACGAUCUGAAGGCCUUCUAAGAAAUUUCCUUCCCAGUUCAUCUGAGAAGCCUUCAGACCUGAAAUAUACCAAAGGCUGCAAUGUAUGGGAGGUGGAUGGUGAGAUUUUCUUGUAGGGAACGAGGAAGAGAAGCAGAACAUGAGAAUAAUAAGUACAAGCCAUUCUGAGGAGCACCAGAGCCAGGCCUUCACCUGACUUCCCGUGGGGACGCUGCAGUCUCAUUCGCGCUACGAUGGAAGCUGGCACCAAGGAGAGAGAUGCUAGUCCUGCCUCAUUGUUCACCACCAGGUGCGACUGAGCCGCUCACACCUGCACUCACCCUCUCCUCCCUGGCCUGUUGCAGAGCAUGCUUUAAAGAGAGAGGUCCAGGAACUGACACAAAGAAGUUUCCUUGUUUCUUCUUUAGGUUCUUCUGCCUGAUUUUAUCCUCGGCCCCUUUUGUCUCAUACCAUGUAUACUAAGACUA
Molecule: long non-coding RNA, 532 nt
Organism: Balaenoptera musculus (blue whale)
Lineage: Eukaryota; Metazoa; Chordata; Mammalia; Artiodactyla; Balaenopteridae
Exons: 3
Source: RefSeq, a predicted model, not a curated record